AAGGUCUUGAAUAUAGCUUCAAAGUUAUAAAAAUCUUUUUUUUUAUGACAAUGCAUGUAUCACAUAUCAAAGCCAGGAUGCCAUAGUUUUAUGGCUGCAGCAUCACAUCAAAUAGAAAAUAUCUACAUGUCCUGUGCUUCAUUUUAUGUGAGUUACAUUGCCCUGGAAUUCAGCAGGAUAUGACAGGCCAUCACUGUAAAUAAGAACUUAUUCUUAAUGGUUUGCCUGGAUAAAUAAAGGUUAAAUAAAUAAAAAAUAAAAUAUAGAUCUAAAUAAAGUUCUGUGUGUUUGCACAAAGGUCACGUUUGUAAUGACAACCCCGCUGCAGAGCUGCAGACACCCAAUAAAUCUGAUCUAGCAUCACUGAUCUGACCUUCUGAAUACAUUUUUACUGAAUACAUUAUAUCUUGAUAAUUAACAUUUCCUUGUUAUCUUUUAACUUUUUGUUUAUUUUUCAUUCUAACUAAUAUAUUUGUAUUUAUUUUAAUUUUGGUCAUUUUCUUGUAACUGUUUACCGAUUUCUUGCCUAUUUGCCUAAAGGAGGCGCUCUCACUGCAUCUCAGUCUCAUAUUUUGUCCCAGCAGGGGAGAGAGAGAGAGAGAGAGAGAGAGAGAGAGAGAGAGAGAGAGAUGGGUGCUCGAACAGGGAAACUGCAGCAGGACACACAGCAGCGUCCAGAGAGCAGGACGGACUCUGCACGGUGCAGCUCUGAGCCCAAACCCCCAGACCCACAGCAGAUCCAGAGACCAGAGCCUGAAGCAAACAGAGGUCAGGCCUGGUUUACAGAGAGUAUGGAAACCCGUGCAGAUCUCUAGACCGGAACCAGAUCCCUCAGACUUACAGGCGCGAGCGGAGCCACACGGCGGCCUGGAGCAGCGCCCUCCGGGUUCAAAGCCCGAUCAGCUCUGUUCCAGCUGUGUUACCGUGAGGAGGACACACAGCCACAGUGCACGUUUCUGCAGUGUCAACACAAUCAGGUUGUCACGCCUUUGAUUUGAGCUGUGCACAUUGUACCGUUAACGACAAAGCAUGACGACACACUCAGGCACCAUCACGUCAAAGUUUAAUUUGAAUCUGCAAAGAUGGAGAUCAGACGUCCAUGUCGAAUAGCAGACCAAAUGAAACUUUUGUCAGUUUUGACUAAUGAAUGUUAACAUUUAACACUUGUGUGUGUGUGUGUGUGUGUGUGUGUGUGUGUGUGUGUGGUUGGUUGAUUUCCACCACCACCAUCCGUUUUUGACGUGGUGUAAAAGGUUCCUCAGCUCGUUCUUGCCCACUGCCACACCCUAGUCCCACAAAAUCUUGCAGCGUUAUGAGAAUCAGUUUAUGCAUAUUUAGGAAGUUAUGCACCUUGUUAUGGAAGGCCAGUCCCCAUUUUUUACCAGUCGCUGUAAAUGAGCUCUGUUUUGCCCCGUGAGCAAAACUUUCAAAACUUUUCAAACCUCAGAUUUUUGCCGUAUUAUGUGAAUCCACUUGGAAGGUAUAAGCUCUUUGUGAUUGGUGAUGCCGGAAGCCACAGCCCCCUGUCGACCAAUCAGCAUGAAAAGUUAAUCAGCUCUGUCCCGAUCCAUUCCUAACUUUUUAAGAAAUCCAGUUUGCAAAACAAAACAAACACAAAAAAACCCCCCAAAAAACAGGGUCAAAAACUGGGAACAAAGACGAAAAAACAGUAAACAAGACAUCACUUUUUGUUGGAUCACCUGAGCGGAACAGCCGGUAACACUAUAUACCCCUACCUGACUGACUGACUGACUGACUGACCUGUGAAAUGUGCAGGCUGGGGAAUUUUGGUUGAAUUUUCAUUUUGGUUUUGUAUUUGUUUGGCAUGUAUUUCUGCACUGUGUGUUUUUGAUUGUUUUUUCCUCUAAUAUUCUGAAGUAUGUGCUUGAUAAAUGCAUGUGAAGUGGCAUUAUGUGUAAAUAUUUUGGGAGCAUGCAGGGCACCUCUAUGUAAGAUUUUUGUUUUUUCUUUCCCUCUAAUGAUGAUGCACUGAUAUUCUGUCAGGAAAAAAAAAGGGAACUAAUGAGUGGACAUUGCAGGGAAUAUUAUUUGAACAUUUGACAUCAUAUUCAGUGUAUUUGUAUAUCAUCACUGUGUUGAU
Myripristis murdjan (pinecone soldierfish) is the source of this 2101-nucleotide long non-coding RNA. RefSeq lists it as uncharacterized. The record is from RefSeq and is a predicted model, not a curated record. Lineage: Eukaryota; Metazoa; Chordata; Actinopteri; Holocentriformes; Holocentridae. The transcript has 3 exons.